Molecule: ribosomal RNA, 534 nt
Filed under: uncultured bacterium
Lineage: Bacteria
Description: bacterial SSU rRNA
Rfam family: Bacterial small subunit ribosomal RNA
Source: RNAcentral
AAUAGAUACCCCGGUAGUCCACGCCGUAAACGAUGAAUACUAGGUGUGGGGGUUGUCAUGACCUCCGUGCCGCUGCUAACGCAUUAAGUAUUCCGCCUGGGGAGUACGGUCGCAAGAUUAAAACUCAAAGGAAUUGACGGGGGCCCGCACAAGCAGCGGAGCAUGUGGUUUAAUUCGAAGCAACGCGAAGAACCUUACCUAGACUUGACAUCUCCUGAAUUACUCUGUAAUGGAGGAAGCCCUUCGGGGCAGGAAGACAGGUGGUGCAUGGUUGUCGUCAGCUCGUGUCGUGAGAUGUUGGGUUAAGUCCCGCAACGAGCGCAACCCUUAUUGUUAGUUGCUAUCAUUUAGUUGAGCACUCUAGCGAGACUGCCCGGGUUAACCGGGAGGAAGGUGGGGAUGACGUCAAAUCAUCAUGCCCCUUAUGUCUAGGGCUACACACGUGCUACAAUGGCUGGUACAGAGAGAUGCAAUACCGCGAGGUGGAGCCAAACUUCAAAACCAGUCUCAGUUCGGAUUGUAGGCUGAAACUCG